RNAcentral lists this unclassified non-coding RNA (1271 nucleotides) under Hevea brasiliensis (rubber tree). Lineage: Eukaryota; Viridiplantae; Streptophyta; Magnoliopsida; Malpighiales; Euphorbiaceae. The record is from RNAcentral.
GAAAGAAAGAGUGAGGGAGCCUAUAAAUACUUAGCACUGAGCACUUAGAUCUUCUUCAGUGGUGCUUUGGCCAACAAAGAUACACUUUCUUAAAUGACACUCUCAUUCUCCCUUCUUGCUUAGGAAAAAGAAACAACUCUGCUGGGUUUUAGAGGGAAAAUUACAGUAAACAUCCAAGAAAGAGAAAAUGUUUGCAGGAGAAAAUGGUCUGCAAGGAGACCCAAGAUUGAAGGCCAUAUCAGAUGCCAUAAGAGUAGUCCCCCAUUUCCCUAAACCAGGAAUUAUGUUUCAAGACAUAACCACACUGUUACUUGAUCACAAGGCUUUUAAAGACACUGUGGAUAUUUUUGUUGAUCGCUAUAGAGAUAUGGAUAUCUCUGUUGUUGCAGGAGUAGAAGCCAGAGGCUUUUUAUUUGGCCCUUCAAUUGCAUUAGCUAUUGGUGCUAAGUUUGUCCCUCUACGUAAACCUAAAAAGUUGCCAGGAGAAGUCAUUUCUGAAAAAUACGUACUUGAAUAUGGCAACGAUUGUCUCGAGAUGCACGUUGGUGAUGUUAACCAUGGGGAACGUGCUAUUAUCAUUGAUGAUUUAGUUGCCACUGGUGGAACACUCUCUGCAGCAAUAACACUAUUAGAACGCGUUGGAGCUGAAGUUGUAGAAUGUGCAUGCGUUAUUGGGUUGCCUGAGUUCAAGGGAAAGUGCAGACUAAACGGGAAGCCACUGUACAUUCUUGUGGAGCCACGCCAGUAAACAAAUUGAUCUGGUAGUUUCAUGUUCUCUUGAUGCAAAAAGCUUAUACAAUUAGGAUUACGGCUUAGUUAAUUAGACUUUAACCCUUAAUUUUUAGCAUAAAUUGCACCAGUAUAAUUCAUGUUCAUCAACAGCCAGGUUUGAUGCAAAAAAAGUGAAAACUUCCCACUACACCAUAUAUAUAUAGAUAUAUGUAACCUUAGAUGCAAUAAUUUUGAGCUUUUUCUCAUCCUGACAAUUUCACUUUCUUUCUCCAGUUUACAGAAUUAAUUGCGCAUUACAGCUGAAAAUCUCCCAUUAUGUGCUUCUCUCCACCACUUUGAACAAAGUCGCUUUCUGAUGUUUUUCCUUUCCCUCCUUUGUAAUUCCCUGCUAACAGAAAUAAUUUUCAAGAAGAUGCAUUUACGCUUUCAGUUUAUGUUGGUCUGUUCCAGGCAUUGGUUGCCAUUUGCCGUUGAUUGAAAUUGUCAAAUUUUGCCUCUUCAUAAGAAAAUCAUAAGCAGCGACCCAGCAAGAAUCAAAU